This 497-nucleotide ribosomal RNA is filed under the name uncultured bacterium. RNAcentral describes it as "partial 16S ribosomal RNA". It matches the Rfam family "Bacterial small subunit ribosomal RNA", at positions 28 to 507 of the family's 1533-position model. The record is from RNAcentral.
GAUGAACGCUGGCGGCGUGCCUAAUACAUGCAAGUCGAGCGAACGGACGAGAAGCUUGCUUUUCUGAUGUUAGCGGCGGACGGGUGAGUAACACGUGGAUAACCUACCUAUAAGACUGGGAUAACUUCGGGAAACCGGAGCUAAUACCGGAUAAUAUUUUGAGCCGCAUGGUUCAAAAGUGAAAGACGGUCUUGCUGUCACUUAUAGAUGGAUCCGCGCUGCAUUAGCUAGUUGGUAAGGUAACGGCUUACCAAGGCAACGAUGCAUAGCCGACCUGAGAGGGUGAUCGGCCACACUGGAACUGAAACACGGUCCAGACUCCUACGAGAGGCAGCAGUAGGGAAUCUUCCGCAAUGGGCGAAAGCCUGACGGAGCAACGCCGCGUGAGUGAUGAAGGUCUUCGGAUCGUAAAACUCUGUUAUUAGGGAAGAACAUAUGUGUAAGUAACUGUGCACAUCUUGACGGUACCUAAUCAGAAAGCCACGGCUAACUACGUG